RNAcentral lists this ribosomal RNA (484 nucleotides) under uncultured bacterium. RNAcentral describes it as "partial 16S ribosomal RNA". It matches the Rfam family "Bacterial small subunit ribosomal RNA", at positions 30 to 507 of the family's 1533-position model. The record is from RNAcentral.
AUUGAACGCUGGCGGAAUGCUUUACACAUGCAAGUCGAACGGCAGCACGGGGGCAACCCUGGUGCCGAUUGGCGAACGGGUGGGUAAUACAUCGGACCGUGCCGGGUCGUGGGGGCUAACGUCCCGAAAGUUACGCUAAUCCCGCAUACGACCUGAGGAUGAAAGCGGGGGACCUUCGGACCUCGCGCGAUCGAUGCGACAGAUGUCAGAUUAGGUAGUUGGUGGGGUAAAGGCCUACAAAGCCGACGAUCUGUAGCUGGUCUGAGAGGACGACCAGCCACACUGGGACUGAGACACGGCCCAGACUCCUACGGGAGGCAGCAGUGGGGAAUUUUGGACAAUGGGCGCAAGCCUGAUCCAGCCAUUCCGCGUGCAGGACGAAGGCCUUCGGGUUGUAAACUGCUUUUGUAUGGAACGAAAAGGCUCUGGCUAAUACCUGGGGCUCAUGACGGUACCGUAAGAAUAAGCACCGGCUAACUACGUG